This 253-nucleotide ribosomal RNA is filed under the name uncultured bacterium. Its description in RNAcentral is "partial 16S ribosomal RNA". It matches the Rfam family "Bacterial small subunit ribosomal RNA", at positions 524 to 776 of the family's 1533-position model. The record is from RNAcentral.
UACGGAGGAUGCAAGCGUUAUCCGGAAUGAUUGGGCGUAAAGCGUCCGCAGGUGGCUGUGUAAGUCUGCUGUCAAAGAGCGAAGCUCAACUUCGUAAAGGCAGUGGAAACUACACGGCUAGAGUGCGUUCGGGGCAGAGGGAAUUCCUGGUGUAGCGGUGAAAUGCGUAGAGAUCAGGAAGAACACCGGUGGCGAAGGCGCUCUGCUGGGCCGCAACUGACACUGAGGGACGAAAGCGAGGGGAGCGAAUGGG